CCGGAGUUUACAACUCCCAAACCCCCUGUGAACAUACCACUUGUUGCCUCGGCGGAUCAGCCGCUCCCGGUAAUAACGGGACGGCCCCGCCAGAGGACCCCUAAAACUCUGUUUCUAUAUGUAACUUCUGAGUAAAACCAUAAAUAAUCA
RNAcentral lists this unclassified non-coding RNA (150 nucleotides) under soil metagenome. RNAcentral describes it as "partial internal transcribed spacer 1". The record is from RNAcentral.